RNAcentral lists this ribosomal RNA (714 nucleotides) under uncultured bacterium. RNAcentral describes it as "bacterial SSU rRNA". It matches the Rfam family "Bacterial small subunit ribosomal RNA", at positions 111 to 823 of the family's 1533-position model. The record is from RNAcentral.
UAACACGUAUCCAACCUGCCGUCUACUCUUGGACAGCCUUCUGAAAGGAAGAUUAAUACAAGAUGGCAUCAUGGGUUCACAUGUUCACAUGAUUAAAGGUAUUCCGGUAGACGAUGGGGAUGCGUUCCAUUAGAUAGUAGGCGGGGUAACGGCCCACCUAGUCUUCGAUGGAUAGGGGUUCUGAGAGGAAGGUCCCCCACAUUGGAACUGAGACACGGUCCAAACUCCUACGGGAGGCAGCAGUGAGGAAUAUUGGUCAAUGGGCGAGAGCCUGAACCAGCCAAGUAGCGUGAAGGAUGACUGCCCUAUGGGUUGUAAACUUCUUUUAUAAAGGAAUAAAGUCGGGUAUGCAUACCCGUUUGCAUGUACUUUAUGAAUAAGGAUCGGCUAACUCCGUGCCAGCAGCCGCGGUAAUACGGAGGAUCCGAGCGUUAUCCGGAUUUAUUGGGUUUAAAGGGAGCGUAGAUGGAUGUUUAAGUCAGUUGUGAAAGUUUGCGGCUCAACCGUAAAAUUGCAGUUGAUACUGGAUAUCUUGAGUGCAGUUGAGGCAGGCGGAAUUCGUGGUGUAGCGGUGAAAUGCUUAGAUAUCACGAAGAACUCCGAUUGCGAAGGCAGCCUGCUAAGCUGCAACUGACAUUGAGGCUCGAAAGUGUGGGUAUCAAACAGGAUUAGAUACCCUGGUAGUCCACACGGUAAACGAUGAAUACUCGCUGU